Molecule: ribosomal RNA, 484 nt
Filed under: uncultured bacterium
Lineage: Bacteria
Description: partial 16S ribosomal RNA
Rfam family: Bacterial small subunit ribosomal RNA
Source: RNAcentral
AUUGAACGCUGGCGGCAGGCCUAACACAUGCAAGUCGAGCGGAUGAAGGGAGCUUGCUCCUGGAUUCAGCGGCGGACGGGUGAGUAAUGCCUAGGAAUCUGCCUGGUAGUGGGGGCUAACGUCCGGACACGGGCGCUAAUACCGCAUACGUCCUGAGGGCGAAAGUGUGGGAUCUUCGGACCUCACGCUAUCAGAUGCGCCUAGGUCGGAUUCGCUAGUUGGUGGGGUAACGGCCUACCAAGGCGACGAUCCGUAACUGGUCUGAGAGGAUGAUCAGUCACACUGGAACUGAGACACGGUCCAGACUCCUACGGGAGGAAGCAGUGGGGAAUAUUGGACAAUGGGCGAAAGCCUGAUCCAGCCAUGCCGCGUGUGGGAAGAAGGUCUUCGGAUUGUAAAGCACUUUAAGUUGGGAGGAAGGGAAGUAAGUUAAGACCUUGCUGUUUUGACGGUACCAAAAGAAGAAGCACCGGCUAACUUCGUG